UACAGAGGGUGCGAGCGUUAAUCGGAAUUACUGGGCGUAAAGCGUGCGUAGACGGUUGCGUAAGUCGGAUGUGAAAUCCCCGGGCUCAACCUGGGAAUGGCAGUGGAAACUAGGGGACUUGAAUCUGGCAGAGGGGGGUGGAAUUCCACGUGUAGCAGUGAAAUGCGUAGAGAUGUGGAGGAACACCGAUGGCGAAGGCAGCCCCCUGGGCUGAGAUUGACGCUCAGGCACGAAAGCGUGGGGAGCAAACAG
Molecule: ribosomal RNA, 252 nt
Filed under: uncultured bacterium
Lineage: Bacteria
Description: partial 16S ribosomal RNA
Rfam family: Bacterial small subunit ribosomal RNA
Source: RNAcentral